AAUCCCUUAUCGAUUAACAAUUAGAGGGCAAGUCUGGUGCCAGCAGCCGCGGUAAUUCCAGCUCUAAUAGCGUAUAUUAAAGUUGUUGCAGUUAAAAAGCUCGUAGUUGGAUUUCGGCGUGCGCUCAGGCUGGUCGGCCGUCAAGGUCUGUACCGUUUGGGUCACGCCCCACUGUAGGAUACUCACCGCUGUCCUUAACUGGGUGGCGGUCAAAGGGGGUGUGCAUGGGGGCAACUCUGUGCAUAUCUCUGGGGUUCCUACUCUUUUACUUUGAGCAAAUAGAGUGUUCAAAGCAGGCAAUCGAGCCUUGAAUACUUCAGCAUGGGAUAAUGGAACAGGACUGGGGUCCUGAUUUCGUUGGUUUCUGGGAUCUCAGUAAUGAUUAAUAGGGAUAGUUGGGGGCAUUAGUAUUUAAUUGUCAGAGGUGAAGUUCUUGGAUUUAUGAAAGACUAACUUCUGCGAAAGCAUUUGCCAAGGAUGUUUUCAUUAAUCAAGAACGAAAGUUAGGGGAUCGAAGACGAUCAGAUACCGUCGUAGUCUUAACCAUAAACGAUGCCGACCAGCGAUUGGGAGACGUUACAUGGAUGACUCCCCCAGCAGCUUGCGAGAAAUCAUAAGUCUUUGGGUUCCGGGGGGAGUAUGGUCGCAAGGCUGAAACUUAAAGGAAUUGACGGAAGGGCACCACCAGGAGUGGAGCCUACGGCUUAAUUUGACCCAACACGGGGAAACUUACCAGGUCCAGACAUAGUAAGGAUUGACAGAUUUGAGAGCUCUUUCUUGAUUCUAUGGGUGGUGGUGCAUGGCCGUUCUUAGUUGGUGGAGUGAUUUGUCUGGUUAAUUCCGUUAACGAGCGAGACCUUAACCUGCUAAAUAUGUCACUGGUAGACUUCUGCCAAAACAGGUGGGUGUCUAGGGGAAAGUUUCGAUGGACUCCGACGCAUUCAUCUGUGGAUGACUACCAGGAUGUACUUCUUAGAGGGACUAUCUGUAUCAAAGCAGAUGGAAGUUUGAGGCAAUAACAGGUCUGUGAUGCCCUAGAUGUUCUGGGCCGCACGCGCGCUACACUGACAAGUUCAACGAGUUUAACACCUUGCUCGAUAGGGCUGGGUAAUCUUUGAAAAACUUGUCGUGAUGGGGAUAGAUCAUUGUAAUUAUUGGUCUUCAACGAGGAAUUCCUAGUAAGCGUGAGUCAUCAGCUCGCGUUGAUUACGUCCCUGCCCUUUGUACACACCGCCCGUCGCUCCUACCGAUUGAAUGAUCCGGUGAAAUGUUGGGAGCUGGGGUCUUUUGGCGGCGGGGCAACUCGUCGUCAGGGAUUCUGCAAACUUCAUUAAACCUUAUCAUUUAGA
Molecule: ribosomal RNA, 1349 nt
Filed under: metagenome
Description: SSU rRNA
Rfam family: Eukaryotic small subunit ribosomal RNA
Source: RNAcentral